This 2310-nucleotide long non-coding RNA is filed under the name Homo sapiens (human). RNAcentral describes it as "long non-coding RNA NONHSAT168297.1". Lineage: Eukaryota; Metazoa; Chordata; Mammalia; Primates; Hominidae. The record is from RNAcentral.
GAGGGAUUUUGCAACCUUCCUUUGGCUUUUGUCACCUAUGGAAAACUACAAACCAGCUUGCCUAUCCGGUGAUUGGAACCAGGAGGAUUGCCGGCCUUGGGUCUGGAAAUCCUAUCCCAUGUGUCUUCCUUCCUCCCUCCCUCCCUUCCUUGGUUCCUUCCUUCCCCUGACUAGGCCCCAGAGGGGUGGGGAGGCCUUCCUGGGCCUGGCAUCAGGGCUCCUGGGCUCCCAGCCAAGUGUCCAGAGGUCACUCCUCCUGGCAUCUGGAUCCUUCUUAUCUUCCUGAGACAUAGGAGGCUCCUGCUCUGGAGAUGACUGAAGGGAAAACACCUGUAUUUCCAGGGCCUUGGAAAUAGCCUGCUCCAGCCGGCCUUCCCGGGAGAAACUGAGAAAGGACAUUGGUCCGAAGCAUUUCUCUUUCGGUUUGUGCUGCGCUGAGCCUGUCCUGUGAUGCGGCCCUCACCAACCAAGGACUGAACGAGAGGGACUCCAUGCGAACCUGCUCAGCAUACAGCAGGUGCCUCGUGGAUAUUCUUCCCUAAGGCUCCAGGCCAGCCAAGCACUGCAUUAACCAGGUUCGGAUGAACUUUAGAAUGUACGCAUCUGAGCUGUCAUAGUUUUUUGUUUUCUUGUUUUUUUGAGAUGGAGUUUCGCUCUUUCACCCAGGCUGGAGUGAAAUGCCGCGAUCUCAGCUCACUGCAACCUCUGCCUCCUGGGUUCAAGCCAUUCUCCUGCCUCAGCCUCCCAAGUAUCUGCGAUUACAGGCUCCUGCCACCAUGUCCAGCUAAUUUUUUGUAUUUUUAGUAGAGACAGGGUUUCACCAUGUUGGCCAGGCUGGUCUUGAAUUCCUGACCUCAGGUGAUCCACCCACCUCGGCCUCCCAAAAUGCUGGGAUUACAGGCAUGAACCACUCUACCUGACCCAUAGUUCUUAAAUUUAAAAUCUUGAUAUGCUGGUGGAUAUGCAGCUUGAUUUCUUUAAGCCGACAUGGCCUGACUUUUUCAGAUUCUCAGCCUGUGUUGGAGGGCUGUUGAGUGUUCUUUCUAUGCAGAAAGUACGCCUGCCGUCCUCUGUUUUGUAAUCGCCACCCCAUCCCUGCCCAACACACACACCCACACAGCCGCAGUUACGCCGGGUCCAGCAACGCACGAACCAAGUGGAAGGUCAAGGGCUGGGGCUCCGUUUCCCUCCCCUUGAAGCUGUUUGGUUUGCUCUUGUCCCAGCCCCUGACUGAGCCGCCAGCCCAGAACGGGGGCAGCCCUCCCCCAUGCAGUCAGGGCCAGAGGAGCAUAAUAUUGCCCCCCCGGGUGCAGCCUUAGGUGCAGGAGCGUUGGGAAUUUUCCAUCUUGCUCUGCAGCCUGGCUUCUUAGGUCAUCGUCCUGCUGCUGACAUAGGCCUGGGUUGGGCGAGUUUCCUGCAGGUCAGCGAGGGCGCGGAGGCAGCGCCUGAGCCUGCUCAGGGCCUGGCUUCCUGCCUGCUGUGAGGAAGGGUGGAGGAGGGGUUCGAGGCCUCAACCAUCCCUUGGCCCAGAGCCUCAGGCCAAGCAGCCUCCGCCUCUGCCCAGGCCUGUCUCCUCCCGGCCUCCUGCUCUCCUGUUUCCUAAAGCUUUCCCGCUGGGUGGCUCCCAGUUCUUCCAGAAAUCCCCUCCAGGAAAUUUGCUUGUUGCCACAAAAUAAUGCAAAUCUGUUCCUGGGGCCGCCCAGGCAACCUGCAGUCUCUGUCUCCCCAAGACCUGAGGAGGGAGGGCGAGGCAGGCCCUGUGCCCGUCAGGGUCCCUUUUCCAGCCAUGAGGACAAAGGAUAAGCCGCACCCUCGUCACCCUCUCAUAAGCUGCAAGAGAAAGUUCCUGGUUUUACCUCUAAGGGAACCAGCUCCACCUAGGGAAAGGCCACACAGGACCCUCAAAGGCACCAAGGUCUUUUUUCUAUUUAAUAUCUAAAACAGUCUGAAUAUAUUAAAGUUUAUGCUCAUGUUUGGCAUUUGUUUAUCUGUUUCUCGAACUUCAACUCCCUGCCGUGUCUGGAGCAGAAAGUGAAGGCCCAUGGAUAACACUUCUGCGUGCCACAGUCCUAGGUGGUGACCAAUGCAGGGAUGCACAGGUGCCGUGUGGCCUUCUGCAGGCCAGGCCCCACAGAGACCCACAGUCAAGGUGGCCUGAGACCCUUGAACAAGGAGCUUGUGGCCAGAGAAAGGCUAAAUGCAGCACCCCCACCCCUGUGGCUAGUGCCAGGGCCCCACCUGAAUGCUCUGCAGUUGGGUCCCCCCAGGCCAUCUCCAGAGGAGAACGCAAGUGGGCUAGGGAGGGAACAG